UUGCUACGGGUCCCGGCGGCCUUAUGCCGAUCUGGAUCCUAGCGCCGGUAGCGGUCCGGUUUCCGGGUCGUUACAGAAUGGUAUCAGAGCCCUAGGUUCAUAUGGUCGGACCUAGAGUGUCGGGCUCAUAGAUGUGAUAGAAAGGUCAAGCACAAUAGGAAAUCAUGUCCACUAGGAUAGGAUGUAGAGUCCUGUCUAGAAUGAAAGUAUGUAUGCUAUGAGAUAUGCUAUGAAUAUGAUGUGUAUAUGAUGUGGGUUCAUGUGUUUCCACAUGAACCAUUUGAUGCUAAUGUUUUGUUAUCUGUGCUGUUUUUCAGUAAACAGAAUGCN
This 330-nucleotide long non-coding RNA is filed under the name Manihot esculenta (cassava). RNAcentral's name for it is "long non-coding RNA (MESC_LNC002872)". The record is from RNAcentral. Lineage: Eukaryota; Viridiplantae; Streptophyta; Magnoliopsida; Malpighiales; Euphorbiaceae.